Small nuclear RNA from Vulpes vulpes (red fox), 102 nucleotides. The record is from Ensembl. NCBI's taxonomy places the organism in Eukaryota, Metazoa, Chordata, Mammalia, Carnivora, Canidae.
UUGCUUUAGCAGCAUAUAUACUAAAAUUAUAAAGAUACAGAGAAGAUUAACAGGCUCUGGUGCAAGGACAAUAUUCAAACACAUGAAGUAUUCAUAGUUUUA